GGUACCGGUACAGAGUCAAUGUGGAGGCUAUAUACAGGGGUACCGGUACAGAGUCAAUGUGGAGGCUAUAUACAGGGGGUACCGGUACAGAGUAAAUGUGGAGGCUAUAUACAGGGGGUACCAGUACAGAGUCAAUGUGGAGGCUAUAUACAGGGUAUUACGGUACAGAGUCAAUGUGGAGGCUAUAUACAGGGUGUUACGGUACAGAGUCAAUGUGGAGGCUAUAUACAGGGGGUACCGGUACAGAGUCAAUCUGGAGGCUAUAUACAGGGUAUUACGGUACAGAGGCAAUGUGGAGGCUAUAUACAGGGGGUACCAGUACAGAGUCAAUGUGGAGGCUAUAUACAGGGUAUUACGGUACAGAGUAAAUGUGGAGGCUAUAUACAGGGUGUUACGGUACAGAGUCAAUGUGGAGGCUAUAUACAGGGGGUACCGGUUCAGAGUCAAUGUGGAGGCUAUAUACAGGGUGUUACGGUACAGAGCCAAUGUGGAGGCUAUAUACAGGGGGUACCGGUACAGAGUCAAUGUGGAGGCUAUAUACAGGGGGUACCGGUACAGAGUCAAUGUGGAGGCUAUAUACAGGGUAUUACGGUACAGAGUCAAUGUGGAGGCUAUAUACAGGGUGUUACGGUACAGAGUCAAUGUGGAGGCUAUAUACAGGGGUACCGGUACAGAGUCAAUGUGGAGGCUAUAUACAGGGUGUUACGGUACAGAGUCAAUGUGGAGG
Molecule: long non-coding RNA, 727 nt
Organism: Oncorhynchus tshawytscha (Chinook salmon)
Lineage: Eukaryota; Metazoa; Chordata; Actinopteri; Salmoniformes; Salmonidae
Source: Ensembl